This 76-nucleotide transfer RNA is filed under the name Flavobacteriaceae bacterium. RNAcentral describes it as "tRNA-Val". It matches the Rfam family "tRNA". Rfam says of the family: Transfer RNA (tRNA) molecules are approximately 80 nucleotides in length. Their secondary structure includes four short double-helical elements and three loops (D, anti-codon, and T loops). Further hydrogen bonds mediate the characteristic L-shaped molecular structure. tRNAs have two regions of fundamental functional importance: the anti-codon, which is responsible for specific mRNA codon recognition, and the 3' end, to which the tRNAs corresponding amino acid is attached (by aminoacyl-tRNA synthetases). tRNAs cope with the degeneracy of the genetic code in two manners: having more than one tRNA (with a specific anti-codon) for a particular amino acid; and 'wobble' base-pairing, i.e. permitting non-standard base-pairing at the 3rd anti-codon position. The record is from RNAcentral. Lineage: Bacteria; Pseudomonadati; Bacteroidota; Flavobacteriia; Flavobacteriales; Flavobacteriaceae. RNAcentral also lists the same sequence under 12 other names.
GGGCGGUUAGCUCAGCUGGUAGAGCAUCUCGUUUACACCGAGAGGGUCGGCGGUUCGAUCCCGUCACCGCCCACCA